GUGCAGAUGACAGACAAACUACUGUUGGCAAAAGAAAGACAUGAACAAAGGAACUCCUGGUGCCC
RNAcentral lists this small nucleolar RNA (65 nucleotides) under Myotis lucifugus (little brown bat). Its description in RNAcentral is "Small nucleolar RNA SNORD42 (ENSMLUG00000021930.1)". The record is from RNAcentral. Lineage: Eukaryota; Metazoa; Chordata; Mammalia; Chiroptera; Vespertilionidae.